AUCCCGUGGUCGGCUUAGGCCUGGCCCCGCCAGCGGGCCCGGAACCGAAGCGGACCCAAGACCCGCCGUGGUCGAACCCUCUGUUCAUGAGCACCCCUACGUUUCCUCGGCAGGUCCGCCUGCCAGGACCCAAAACAGAAACCCUUUGCAGUAGUGUUCCAGUCGUCUGAUCUAGAAAACCCUUCAAAACUUUCAACAACGGAUCUCUUGGCUCUGGCAUCGAUGAAGAACGCAGCGAAAUGCGAUAAGUAGUGUGAAUUGCAGAAUUCAGUGAAUCAUCGAAUCUUUGAACGCACAUUGCGCCCAUUGGUAUUCCUUUGGGCAUGCCUGUUCGAGCGUCAUUUCAACCUUCAAGCGCAGCUUGGUGUUGGGCGCCUGCCCCCGGGGACCGCCGGGGGCUCGCCUCGAAAUCAUUGGCGGCGGAGUCGUCGGCCCAGAGCGCAGCAGAGACGCGCCUCCGGGACCCCGACGGCCGCGAGCCAGGAGCGUGACCCACGCGUCUUGACCUCGGAUCAGGCAGGGAUACCCGCUGAACUUAAGCAUAUCAAU
This 549-nucleotide ribosomal RNA is filed under the name Neoastrosphaeriella krabiensis. RNAcentral describes it as "eukaryotic LSU rRNA". The stretch from base 188 to 341 matches the Rfam family "5.8S ribosomal RNA". The record is from RNAcentral. Lineage: Eukaryota; Fungi; Ascomycota; Dothideomycetes; Pleosporales; Aigialaceae.